ACGAACGCUGGCGGCGUGCUUAACACAUGCAAGUCGAACGGAAAGGCCCUGCUUUUGUGGGGUGCUCGAGUGGCGAACGGGUGAGUAACACGUGAGUAACCUGCCCUUGACUUUGGGUUAACUUCAGGAAACUGGGGCUAAUACCGGAUAGGAGCUCCUGCUGCAUGGUGGGGGUUGGAAAGUUUCGGCGGUUGGGGAUGGACUCGCGGCUUAUCAGCUUGUUGGUGGGGUAGUGGCUUACCAAGGCUUUGACGGGUAGCCGGCCUGAGAGGGUGACCGGCCACAUUGGGACUGAGAUACGGCCCAGACUCCUACGGGAGGCAGCAGUGGGGAAUAUUGCACAAUGGGCGGAAGCCUGAUGCAGCAACGCCGCGUGCGGGAUGACGGCCUUCGGGUUGUAAACCGCUUUCGCCUGUGACGAAGCGUGAGUGACGGUAAUGGGUAAAGAAGCACCGGCUAACUACGUG
RNAcentral lists this ribosomal RNA (467 nucleotides) under uncultured bacterium. RNAcentral describes it as "partial 16S ribosomal RNA". It matches the Rfam family "Bacterial small subunit ribosomal RNA", at positions 29 to 507 of the family's 1533-position model. The record is from RNAcentral.